Molecule: unclassified non-coding RNA, 484 nt
Filed under: uncultured fungus
Lineage: Eukaryota; Fungi
Description: partial contains small subunit ribosomal RNA, internal transcribed spacer 1, and 5.8S ribosomal RNA
Rfam family: Eukaryotic small subunit ribosomal RNA (bases 1-73)
Source: RNAcentral
UCAAACUUGGUCAUUUAGAGGAAGUAAAAGUCGUAACAAGGUUUCCGUAGGUGAACCUGCGGAAGGAUCAUUACCAUUUAUUGAGGCUGGAUGAGGCGUUUGGCUUAGGCCUCACUCUCUCUUCCACCCCUCAAAUAGUUCAACCUUGUGUGAAUUGAGACCUUUUGGUGGUUUCUUUUUUCUCCUUUUAUUUAUUUAAAAGGGGGGAGAGAAGCAGCCGUGCCACGCGUGUGUGCGUGUUUGUUUUUUAGUUUGCGGUUUAUUUAGUUUUAAUUUGGGUGCCUCGCACUCAAACUAAAAACUAAAACUAAAAACUAAAAAAACUAGCGCACACACAUGUGCGCGCUGCGCCACCAAUCUUUUUUAAUUUGGCUCGUGGGUCAAUUAAACGUCUUGUGUUGAGGCCAAAACUAAAUAAAUGAGAAACAAAGAGAUAACUUACGACGGUGGAUCUCUUGGCUCGUGCAUCGAUGAAGAACGCAGC